GUUGAAUGCUCCAUCUUCCGCAUGACCUGGUCAAAACAGAUUCAAUCACACUGAUGCGGAACAUAAUACUUACUCCUGCCAGAAGCCAUAUUACUUUCAGUUGUUGACUCCAAGAAGCUUUGCUAAUUUGCCAAAAUCUGACUAAAUCUCCAGAAAUUGGCUGUAAAUGUAUUUUAAACAUAAGGGGAGAAGCUGGAUCCGUCAUGGUGUUUAGAUUGUUUGGGAAUUAAGGAAGCAGAACUUGAAGUUCAUGAUAUAAAGACACAUCAUAUUAAACUAAAGCCAUCCUAAGGCUGACAUUAUAGAUGUAUACAACAUGGAAUUGAAAAAAACAGGGUGUUUUAAUUCUCUCCCAAGCUGCUCUCCACCAGUCUGGGCAUUUGCUACCUACAGCCUGUAUGGAAAAACUGAAUCAUAAGAAUGUUGAACUUUCCAUUAGAUCAGUCACUCAAUGGGCCUGGAAAUAAUUUUUGAGCUCCAGUCCAGUCCUUUGAUCAUACCAUUUCUUCGGUGCUUUAAAGAAUGUCAUCUCUGGUGGUUAUCCAGCAUGUAUUAUUUGCGUCAAGAUGAAGUGCAUCUCUGCACACACAGUGUUAAAGUUUUUUCAGGGUUUCACCUGGAAACCUUAGCAGUUCCUAGUGGAAGUCUGGACAUCUGUGGAAAUAGGCUUUGUUACCUCCAAAGCUGCUUCAGAUGAGCGCGCAUACGUCUUCCUUCUAUUCUUCCUUGGCUCUGAGUCUGUGACCUGCAGGCUGAAUCACUGUGGAUAGUUACCAGCCACACAUCCUGCAGGAAACCUGGCCUCAACUAAGAAAAACACUGAAAUACAUUUAAGUUGUUCCCAGUCAUUUGAAGAGACAAAGCUUGCUUAAAUCAGUAGGGCCAAAUACUUGCUUAAGUUAAAUCACAAUGAGCUGCUCAGCAAGAGGCUCUGUGAUUUCUCAGUGCCUGUGAGGGUAAACUAUACAAACAUUGUAGUCUUUGGAUAUAAAGAGAGAAAACCUUCAUACUGUACUGAGAAGUAUAGGUUAGAUAAAGCAGCACAAAAUCAUAAUUAAGGCUGGACUAUGUGUUCAUUUUAAUAGGAAAAUCUAUAUUUUCAAAUUUGAAGAGUAAUUAAAAGUUAGUCAAUCUAAACUUGAGCUGUACACAUACCCAAUGGUCUACCACAUUGUGAUGCUUUUCUCAAAGGCAACAAAUACAGAUAUUUUAUAAGGAUCCAAACCGAGUCUACUUGGAUGUAUUUAUGAUGCCUCACAUGCAAGAAUAAAUUCAUCUGAAGCAAUAUAAAAGGAGGAGCUUAAUGGCUUUUAUAUCUUUGAGAAAAUAUAAACUGUUCUAACUUUUUAUUGACUAACCAAACAUCCUCCUCAAAGGAAUAGUUAGAAAUUUUGGUAAUUUGAAACUUUGCACAAAGGAAUUCUCUGUGAACCAAGACAGUAUCAAAUGUGCAUUUAGAUAUUGUGUUAGCUUACAAAAGAAGCAUGGAAUGCCUUAUUCUUAUUUUUAAGGUACUAUUAAAAAUGCCAUUGUUUUCUCUCAUCUCAAGUCAAUAUAAUAACAUAAGAAGGAUCUGUAGGAGUUAGGUGAAGUAAAUUAAAACAAUUUCAAAAAAUGUCUACAGAUUUGUCUUGAGAGACCAAGAGUGCAGUUAUCAAAUAUAAAUGACUGCCAAUUCAGGCAGAAUCAAAAAGAAGAACGCAGAGAGAGAGAAAGGAAAGCAAAAAACAGGAAGUUUUUGUCAUUUUUGGUCAUUGUGUGUCAGUGAGAGAAGAAAUUAAUAAACUGGCAUUGUUCUUAGUGACCUUCUUGAUGGUAGUUUCAAGAAGUCAAGGAUCAAAGAGUCAUAGGAAUUAUGCAGAAAUACUGCUGUGUUGUCACUCUCGUGUAGCUCCCUUGCAUCAAGUUGGAGGAUAAACAGGACUCUGGGGCAACACCAUCACAUCCUUUCUGUAAGGUUUCUAAUGCCUUGCACAUCUAGGUACCUAUCUGCCAGAUUCCAAGCUGAAUAUAUAUUUUAUUUUAAUUUUAUUUUGUGUCUGUGUUUCUCUCUUUGUAUCAUUUCUCUUAAGCCUUACUGCCACCCUGGUUUAUAGGGUAUUUCCUACAGGAUUAAGUUUGAAGUGAUCAGACUUUGUGUCUGUCCUCCCUGCAUGACUACAGGAGGGGCUUUAGAAUUUCACUGGGAUUUUAAAUAUCAAACAUAGCUUGAAAUCCUAUAACUUUGGGAAAUACUGAAUAGAUUAUACAAAAAAUCAUCUAUUUCUUACUGAAAGAGAGAUAAUCUUUCAUCUAGUUUCUUGCUGUCUAUGAAAUACCCUUUUUUUAAAAAAUCUCUUUACUUAUCUCUUAUUUUUACCACUUCCCAAGUGGGUAAAAGAAAGAGUUCCCUCUAUUUUUGAAUGGUACAUAAUCCCAAUUACUCUGGAAUAAAAUCAGAUUCUGUAAUCUAAUUUAGUGUCUCCUCUUCAGACUUUGCUUCUUCUGCUUUUAUGUUGAUCCCCUUACAAGUUUUUCUAGUAGAUUGGAAGCAUAUAAUGUAUGUUUGAAUGGAUUCUUAAUGGAUUUGGAAACACUGCUUCCAGGGAACAAGCAUCAGCACCCAAAAUUAGUCUGUGGUGCUAUAGUAAUUUUCCUUCUCCGGAACUCCUUUUUUUUCUUCCUGUAAUCUCUACAUUUGCUUCUUUGUGUUUGCUUUUCACUGUCUCAGCUUUUUCCCAGAUUCCUUUCUGCUUCUGGUCCUCUCCUUUGUAGCAGUUUUCAUUUGUUGCACGCCAGCGCAUUAAGGACUAGCACAGUCUGGUUAAAAUCAGUUACGUGCAAGGAGCAGAACUUUGCACAGCCAAUUUCAGCGCCCAUCGCAGUCACCGGGAAAACAACCAUUUACCUCACUGGGAGCCAAAUGAAGCAGAACAGGUACUGGUACAUCUGUACAGUCACAUGUACUUUGAUUAAAGUUCACAGUUCUGCUCUCUCACUGCCUUCACCCCACCAAUGAAGGUGCAAAUUCCACCUCUGUGAUCUGGUGGGGGGCAGCAGGGGCUGGCAGCUGCCUGGAGGCAAUGGGGGCACCCAGGGCCCGGCACCAAAGGCCUGCACAGAGGCUGAUGGAGGUGAGGCCCUGACCAAGGGGACCACAAAGGGCCGUUCAUGCACCUAGGAAAGCAAAUGCGACUUUCACAGAGGCAGACUCAAAUUUUUACUCUGAAACUACAGGCUGUAGACCACCACCUUAACAUGCUUUUAGAAGUCCUGAAGAUUUUUGGUUUUUAGUAUCAUCUAUUACAAACUUACAGACAUCUUUUACUCCUUAAGGGGCUCGCCAAAGAAGUACAGCAGAUAUAAGAGCACCUCAGAAUGGGCUGAUAUUUAAUCACAGGUUGUAAAUACCUUUUACGAACUUCCCUAUCUGCAUCUGCUGCUAUGCGUGGCACAACAUCAAGUUAGUCAGCUUUGUUUAUGUCUUUGGUAAGGGGGAGCUUGGAACAUGAUGUCUCAAGUUUAGAGACAAUAAAGCUACAUGUUUGCACUGGGAAAAGCGAGGAAUGAAGCUACAGAAGAUUUACCAAGUGUACACAGCCAACUUCUGAGGAAGCCUAUGCUCUGCUCUGUAGGGCUGCAGAGCUCAACCACAGCAGCAGAGAGGGCUGGAGAGGAGGAUGGCUCUCCCGGUUCCUGCCAGAUCAGACAACCAGCAGCAGGCAGGGGGGUGAGCAGCAAGAAGUGUAACAGAAGUUGUUACUGGGAGGACAUCGCGUCUCACAAGCAGCAUUCUGAGUUUCAGCAAGUCACCUUGAAAGAGAACCGGAAACCUCACUGCCAGAUAAACAAGCACAUUCCUAAUGAUCACCAGCUCUCCUGAAUUGUUUCUUUCUUGUCUUGCCUCAAAGUAUUUUAGCUGGCACAACAGGUUUAACUCUGCAGUCUUUACGCUUGAAAAUGUGACAAAUUUUCUGGUUCGUUCUAAUCAGCACAACUUUUAACAUGUGAAAAGGAACGAAUAUUCAUUCCGGCCUCACCCCCCUCUGUCCAAAGCACCGCUGGAGAGGAGCAAUGCCUCUGGUUCUUCUCCACACGCUGGAAUUUUGCAUUUCUAUGUCAGCAAGGCUUCCAGCCCCAAGCCGCACAGGCUGCGGUUAGCCCGGAGCGCCGCAGAUCAUCUUUCACAGGCAGGUUGCAACUGCAACCUUCUGCUCCCAUUCUGCCAUCCACCUAUCUUCUGCAUCAAUGUUACUUGAGAUUUACGUUUUUACGUUGACUUUAAGCUUCUACCUUAGUUGCGGGGCUUUUUGUUUGUUUCUUUGUUCUUUGUUUAGAAGAUACUAUUUUCCCUGGUGUUCAUUACAGUUGGCUUUGGGUAUAUCGGGAGCUUAGUCAGCAGUUAGAGCAGCGAGAGGCCAGGACUUGUUUUUCUUCUUUUUAUCCCUUUCAUCCAGUGGAAAAAGUUUCCCGCUGCUCUGCCUACUGAUAUUCGAUAUUCUGUCUCCGACGGCUGUACAUCUUUAAGUUUUAAAGAACAGCACAUCAGAGAGCUCUGUUAAUUAUCACUCAUUUUGAGUUGUUGUUGGGUUGUUUUGUCUUUUUUCGCCUGCAUUUUGGAGGUGAUGCUUCUCAGGGGAAUGUUUUUUCCUGAUCCAAUUCAUAUUUGUAUAAUAACAAAGCACUUUCUCAUAUUUCUCAUGUUUCGUAACAGCGUAUUUAAUCUGCAGAAUUAAAAGAAUGCUUGCAAUAAGCAAAGCAGCAAAGCAGCAGCUUUUGCAGAAUGUAUUUUACAAGUAAUAUUGCAACACAAAAAAAAGUAGAGAGAUCUGGGGAGUUUCUCUUGGAAUAGUUUACAUUCUAAUAGAUUUUCCUGGUAGGUAUCUUCCUGCCUAUGCUUUAUGAGCAUCUUUCUGGAAACAACAUCAAAUACCUACAUUGGAAAGGAUCCAGUGGGAAGCCGUUACUGUGCAGUUAUUGAUCAUUUAAUCAGACAUACUACUUACGGCCAUUUUAUGAUGAGUAAAUUGCAAAAACAGUUCCAAAAUCUUAUUCUAGCACGACUGUUAAAGUCCCUGGUUAUCUUUACAACUGUUUCCCACUGUCUUUUGAAACAGGAAGCCUUAAUCGGUAGAAAAACACAAGUAUACACAAGCAGAAAUACUGAAGGAGUGAUUGCAAGGUAGGUUGGCCAAUCCUGCAAUCACAUGGAUUAACUGCCCAGAAUUUAGAUAUGUAUGCAACAUCCUUCAUAGAUCCCUCGCAGUGGAAAAGCAGAAUUCAUGAGACAGCUCUUCUGUGGCAGUCAGUUAUAGUUCAGUAAAUCAUUGUCUUGCUUUACUUCGCUCAAUUUAAUUGCACAAAAUCAUUGGCUCGAGGUCAACUUCUAUGUGAUCCCUUAGUGCUCCCACAACAGCUCUGCCUCAGCCACAGCCUGUCUUAGAGCCAGAACCACACAUGGACCUGUAAGGAGGAAAGUGGAAUAAGCCCAAAUGUCUGAACUUUCAGAACCCUUAUAAGCAAUUAACUUUAAAACACUGAUGAAUUUGACGUCACAACAUAUUUGUAGUUCUGGUGGCUUUGUUGUUGUCGUUUUGUUUGUUGUUGUUGUUUUCUUCUUCUUUUCAUCUACUGUAACUGUCAUGGUAUUUAAGGAAAAGUUCUUCUAAGUCUUGUGUGUACAUGAGAGUUGGUGCCAGAAACCAAACAUCUGGCAGAAAAUAUUUGCUCCUACAAUAACAUUUCCUCUGCUUACUUUUUUAUAAAGCAAACUUUAAUUGUUUCCAGAAAUAUUAUGUGUUUCUGCUCUUCUCUGAUAUAUCUUAACUUUUCUUUCCUUUGGAAAAAAAAAAAAAAAAAACCAAAAACCAAAACACACACAAAAGAAAAACUCCCAAAAAGGCAGAGAGAAAACCUUCGUGGUGUUUUUCAGCAUUCCUUCCUCAGCCUGCUGUUCGAAUCUGAUUGUAAUAAUUCACUCGAUGUUUUCAUAAAAAGACCGAGGCUUCUUUCACAAAGAAAAGCUCAUAAUUAAAAGGUUGUACCUUGCAAAGGAGUUUGGCAAAAUCUGAAUUUCAUAGCGGAAGGAUCACAGAGCAGAACACAAAAAGAAGAACAAAGCACAUUUUUGAUGUAUUUACUGAAAGUUGCAGAAAAAAAAAGUUAGAAAAUGAUGUGUAGUAAGCUGUGGUGUGGUUUGUUGGGUG
Gallus gallus (chicken) is the source of this 6185-nucleotide long non-coding RNA. The record is from Ensembl. NCBI's taxonomy places the organism in Eukaryota, Metazoa, Chordata, Aves, Galliformes, Phasianidae.